CAUGGGGUGCAAACGUUGCUCGGAAUUAUUGGGCGUAAAGCGCGCGUAGGCGGUUAUCUAAGUUGGAUGUGAAAGCCCUCGGCUUAACUGAGGAAGUGCACCCAAAACUGGAUAGCUGGAGUACGAAAGAGGGUCGCGGAAUUCCCGGUGUAGAGGUGAAAUUCGUAGAUAUCGGGAGGAACACCGGUGGCGAAGGCGGCGACCUGGGUCGAGACUGACGCUGAGGCGCGAAAGCGUGGGGAGCAAACAGGAUCAGAUACCCUGGUAGUCCACGCCGUAAACGAUGGGUGCUAGAUGUUUCUGGUAUUGACCCCGGAGGCGUCGUAGCUAACGCGUUAAGCACCCCGCCUGGGGAGUACGGCCGCAAGGCUA
RNAcentral lists this ribosomal RNA (372 nucleotides) under uncultured organism. RNAcentral's name for it is "bacterial SSU rRNA". It matches the Rfam family "Bacterial small subunit ribosomal RNA", at positions 526 to 896 of the family's 1533-position model. The record is from RNAcentral.